AUGGCUCAGACGAACGCUGGCGGCGUGCCUAAUACAUGCAAGUCGAGCGAGCGGAACUAACAGAUUUACUUCGGUAAUGACGUUAGGAAAGCGAGCGGCGGAUGGGUGAGUAACACGUGGGGAACCUGCCCCAUAGUCUGGGAUACCACUUGGAAACAGGUGCUAAUACCGGAUAAGAAAGCAGAUCGCAUGAUCAGCUUUUAAAAGGCGGCGUAAGCUGUCGCUAUGGGAUGGCCCCGCGGUGCAUUAGCUAGUUGGUAAGGUAAAGGCUUACCAAGGCGAUGAUGCAUAGCCGAGUUGAGAGACUGAUCGGCCACAUUGGGACUGAGACACGGCCCAAACUCCUACGGGAGGCAGCAGUAGGGAAUCUUCCACAAUGGACGCAAGUCUGAUGGAGCAACGCCGCGUGAGUGAAGAAGGUUUUCGGAUCGUAAAGCUCUGUUGUUGGUGAAGAAGGAUAGAGGUAGUAACUGGCCUUUAUUUGACGGUAAUCAACCAGAAAGUCACGGCUAACUACGUGCCAGCAGCCGCGGUAAUACGUAGGUGGCAAGCGUUGUCCGGAUUUAUUGGGCGUAAAGCGAGCGCAGGCGGAAGAAUAAGUCUGAUGUGAAAGCCCUCGGCUUAACCGAGGAACUGCAUCGGAAACUGUUUUUCUUGAGUGCAGA
RNAcentral lists this ribosomal RNA (665 nucleotides) under Lactobacillus crispatus. RNAcentral's name for it is "bacterial SSU rRNA". It matches the Rfam family "Bacterial small subunit ribosomal RNA", at positions 19 to 652 of the family's 1533-position model. Lineage: Bacteria; Bacillati; Bacillota; Bacilli; Lactobacillales; Lactobacillaceae. The record is from RNAcentral.